This 812-nucleotide ribosomal RNA is filed under the name uncultured bacterium. RNAcentral describes it as "bacterial SSU rRNA". It matches the Rfam family "Bacterial small subunit ribosomal RNA", at positions 58 to 864 of the family's 1533-position model. The record is from RNAcentral.
CAAGUCGAGGGGCAGCAUAAUGGAUAGCAAUAUCUAUGGUGGCGACCGGCGCACGGGUGCGUAACGCGUAUGCAACCUACCUUUAACAGGGGGAUAACACUGAGAAAUUGGUACUAAUACCCCAUAAUAUCAUAGAAGGCAUCUUUUAUGGUUGAAAAUUCCGAUGGUUAGAGAUGGGCAUGCGUUGUAUUAGCUAGUUGGUGGGGUAACGGCUCACCAAGGCGACGAUACAUAGGGGGACUGAGAGGUUAACCCCCCACACUGGUACUGAGACACGGACCAGACUCCUACGGGAGGCAGCAGUGAGGAAUAUUGGUCAAUGGACGCAAGUCUGAACCAGCCAUGCCGCGUGCAGGAUGACGGCUCUAUGAGUUGUAAACUGCUUUUGUACGAGGGUAAACGCAGAUACGUGUAUCUGUCUGAAAGUAUCGUACGAAUAAGGAUCGGCUAACUCCGUGCCAGCAGCCGCGGUAAUACGGAGGAUUCAAGCGUUAUCCGGAUUUAUUGGGUUUAAAGGGUGCGUAGGCGGUUAGAUAAGUUAGAGGUGAAAUCCCGGGGCUUAACUCCGAAAUUGCCUCUAAUACUGUUUGACUAGAGAGUAGUUGCGGUAGGCGGAAUGUAUGGUGUAGCGGUGAAAUGCUUAGAGAUCAUACAGAACACCGAUUGCGAAGGCAGCUUACCAAACUAUAUCUGACGUUGAGGCACGAAAGCGUGGGGAGCAAACAGGAUUAGAUACCCUGGUAGUCCACGCAGUAAACGAUGAUAACUCGCUGUCGGCGAUACACAGUCGGUGGCUAAGCGAAAGCGAUAAG